Molecule: ribosomal RNA, 301 nt
Filed under: uncultured bacterium
Lineage: Bacteria
Description: partial 16S ribosomal RNA
Rfam family: Bacterial small subunit ribosomal RNA
Source: RNAcentral
CAGUAGCCGCGGUAAUACGAGGGGAGCUAGCGUUAUUCGGAAUUACUGGGCGUAAAGCGUGCGUAGGCGGUUUGUUAAGUCUGUUGUGAAAUCCCCGGGCUCAACCUGGGAAUGGCAAUGGAUACUGGCAAGCUAGAGUGUGUCAGAGGAUGGUGGAAUUCCCGGUGUAGCGGUGAAAUGCGUAGAGACCGGGAGGAACAUCAGUGGCGAAGGCGGCCAUCUGGGACAACACUGACGCUGAGGCACGAAAGCGUGGGGAGCAAACAGGAUUAGAUACCCCAGUAGUCCCUGUCUCUUAUAC